RNAcentral lists this long non-coding RNA (579 nucleotides) under Androctonus crassicauda. Lineage: Eukaryota; Metazoa; Arthropoda; Arachnida; Scorpiones; Buthidae. The record is from RNAcentral.
AUUUGAUAUAUAUAUAAAAUUAUAGCAUUAUAAAAUGAAGCAAAAAAAAACAAUGCAAUUUUUAAUUAAAUUAUUUUACGAAUUAUUGAAGAUAUUUUAUGAAUUAAAACAAGGAUAGAAUGUUUACAACAGGAAAGAAUGCUUAGUAUUUUAGGGAGGAGAUACGUACUCCCAAAAUUAUCAGCUCCAGGGCCUAGAAGGUGGGAUCUGUAAAAUGUGAAGUUUCAUUUAGAAUGACACCUGCAAAUAGUAGAGAAAGAGAGAGCGAGAGAGAGAAAAAAAAAACGCAAUUUAGUAACAGAAUUGUUGAUAUUUUAAUUUUUUAUAAUUCAUUAAAUCACAGCAACAAUGCAAUUUCCUUAUCGCGAAAACGAGAGAGUAGCUGUUUAAAUAGGAAUUUUCUUGUCACAGGAAGACUGUGUUUCACUUUAAACGUUUAAAUAUCAAUGUUUUAAUUAGUGAAUCAUAUAUAUACAAACAAAGAAGUAAUUAAAUAUUAAGAACUGUUAACAAAACAAAUUCGUCAUCGUUCAUGAAAUAUAAAGAGGAAGAUGAUUACUCAUUCAUUGCAACAGACAC